CAGCAGCCGCGGGAACACGGAGGGAGCUAGCGUUGUUCGGAAUUACUGGGCGUAAAGCGCGCGUAGGCGGUUACUCAAGUCAGAGGUGGAAGCCCGGGGCUCAACCCCGGAACUGCCUUUGAAACUAGGUGACUAGAAUCUUGGAGAGGUCAGUGGAAUUCCGAGUGUAGAGGUGAAAUUCGUAGAUAUUCGGAAGAACACCAGUGGCGAAGGCGACUGACUGGACAAGUAUUGACGCUGAGGUGCGAAAGCGUGGGGAGCAAACAGGAUUAGAUACCCCCGUAGUCCCUGUCUCUUAUAC
This 301-nucleotide ribosomal RNA is filed under the name uncultured bacterium. Its description in RNAcentral is "partial 16S ribosomal RNA". It matches the Rfam family "Bacterial small subunit ribosomal RNA", at positions 509 to 807 of the family's 1533-position model. The record is from RNAcentral.